GAAGGGUGCAAGCGUUACUCGGAAUUACUGGGCGUAAAGCGUGCGUAGGUGGUUCGUUAAGUCUGAUGUGAAAGCCCUGGGCUCAACCUGGGAAUGGCAUUGGAAACUGGCGACCUAGAGUGCGGUAGAGGGCAGUGGAAUUCCCGGUGUAGCAGUGAAAUGCGUAGAGAUCGGGAGGAACAUCUGUGGCGAAGGCGACUGCCUGGACCAGCACUGACACUGAGGCACGAAAGCGUGGGGAGCAAACAGGAUUAGAUACCCUGGUAGUCCACGCCCUAAACGAUGCGAACUGGAUGUUGGGUGCAACUAGGCACUCAGUAUCGAAGCUAACGCGUUAAGUUCGCCGCCUGGGGAGUACGGUCGCAAGACUG
This 371-nucleotide ribosomal RNA is filed under the name uncultured bacterium. RNAcentral describes it as "bacterial SSU rRNA". It matches the Rfam family "Bacterial small subunit ribosomal RNA", at positions 527 to 896 of the family's 1533-position model. The record is from RNAcentral.